GAUGAACGCUGGCGGCGUGCCUAAUACAUGCAAGUCGAACGCAUAGCGAAAGGUGCUUGCACCUUUCAAGUGAGUGGCGAACGGGUGAGUAACACGUGGACAACCUGCCUCAAGGCUGGGGAUAACAUUUGGAAACAGAUGCUAAUACCGAAUAAAACUUAGUGUCGCAUGACACAAAGUUAAAAGGCGCUUCGGCGUCACCUAGAGAUGGAUCCGCGGUGCAUUAGUUAGUUGGUGGGGUAAAGGCCUACCAAGACAAUGAUGCAUAGCCGAGUUGAGAGACUGAUCGGCCACAUUGGGACUGAGACACGGCCCAAACUCCUACGGGAGGCUGCAGUAGGGAAUCUUCCACAAUGGGCGAAAGCCUGAUGGAGCAACGCCGCGUGUGUGAUGAAGGCUUUCGGGUCGUAAAGCACUGUUGUAUGGGAAGAACAGCUAGAAUAGGAAAUGAUUUUAGUUUGACGGUACCAUACCAGAGAGGGACGGCUAAAUACGUG
RNAcentral lists this ribosomal RNA (497 nucleotides) under uncultured bacterium. RNAcentral describes it as "partial 16S ribosomal RNA". It matches the Rfam family "Bacterial small subunit ribosomal RNA", at positions 28 to 507 of the family's 1533-position model. The record is from RNAcentral.